CCUACGGGAGGCAGCAGUGAGGAAUAUUGGUCAAUGGGCGGGAGCCUGAACCAGCCAAGUCGCGUGAGGGAAGACGGUCCUAUGGAUUGUAAACCUCUUUAGGCGGGGAGCAAUGCCGGGCACGCGUGCCCGGAGGGGGAGUACCCGCAGAAUAAGCAUCGGCUAACUCCGUGCCAGUAGCCGCGGUAAUACGGAGGAUGCGAGCGUUAUCCGGAUUCAUUGGGUUUAAAGGGUUCGUAGGCGUAUUUUUAAGGCAGCGGUAAGAUGACCGGGCUCAACCCGGGGCGGCCGUUGAAACUGGGGAUCUUGAGUGGGCGAGUAGUAUGCGGAAUGCGUGGUGUAGCGG
RNAcentral lists this ribosomal RNA (346 nucleotides) under uncultured bacterium. Its description in RNAcentral is "partial 16S ribosomal RNA". It matches the Rfam family "Bacterial small subunit ribosomal RNA", at positions 338 to 681 of the family's 1533-position model. The record is from RNAcentral.